AGGAUGAACGCUGGCGGCGUGCCUAAUACAUGCAAGUCGAGCGGUAACACUUCGGGUGACGAGCGGCGGACGGCUGAGUAACGCGUAGGAACGUACCCCAGAGUGAGGGAUAAGCACCGGAAACGGUGUCUAAUACCGCAUAAUCUCUUAGGAGCAAAGCAGCAAUGCGCUUUGGGAACGGCCUGCGUAUGAUUAGCUUGUUGGUGAGGUAAUGGCUCACCAAGGCGACGAUUAUUAGCUGGUCUUAGAGGAUGAUCAGCCAGACUGGGACUGAGACACGGCCCAGACUCCUACGGAGGCAGCAGUAGGGAAUUUUCCACAAUGGGCGAAAGCCUGAUGGAGCAACGCCGCGUGCAGGAUGAAGGCCUUCGGGUUGUAAACUGUCUUUGUUAGUGAAGAUUAUGACGGUAACUAGCGAAUAAGGGUCUGCUACUACGCGCCAGCAGCCGC
Molecule: ribosomal RNA, 450 nt
Filed under: uncultured bacterium
Lineage: Bacteria
Description: SSU rRNA
Rfam family: Bacterial small subunit ribosomal RNA
Source: RNAcentral